ACGUAGGCAACCUGCCCGUAAUACCGGGAUAACCUGGGGAAACCGAGGCUAAGCCCGGAUAGGCUCCUUUUCCGCAUGGGAGAGGAGGGAAAGGGUGCGACCCGAUUACGGAGGGGCCUGCGGCGCAUUAGCUAGUUGGUGAGGUAACGGCCCACCAAGGCGAUGAUGCGUAGCCGACCUGAGAGGGUGACCGGCCACACUGGGACUGAGAGACGGCCCAGACUCCUACGGGAGGCAGCAGUAGGGAAUCUUCGGCAAUGGGCGAAAGCCUGACCGAGCAACGCCGCGUGAGUGAGGAAGGCCUUCGGGUUGUAAAACUCUGUUGUUUGGGAAGAAGGGAAAGGGUAGGCCCCUUAGGUGACGGUACCAAACGAGAAAGCCCCGGCUAACUACGUGCCAGCAGCCGCGGUAAUACGUAGGGGGCGAGCGUUGUCCGGAAUGAUUGGGCGUAAAGCGCGCGCAGGCGGUCCUUUAAGUCUGAUGUGAAAGCCCGCGGCUUAACCGCGGAAGGUCAUUGGAAACUGGGGGACUUGAGGCUAGGAGAGGGAAGUGGAAUUCCUGGUGUAGCGGUGAAAUGCGUAGAGAUCAGGAGGAAUACCGAUGGCGAAGGCAGCUUUCUGGCCUAGAACUGACGCUGAGGCGCGAAAGCGUGGGGAGCAAACAGGAUUAGAUACCCUGGUAGUCCACGCCGUAAACGAUGAGUGCUAGGUGUGAGGGGUUUCAAGGCCCUUCGUGCCGCAGUACACACAAUAAGCACUCCGCCUGGGGAGUACGGUCGCAAGACUGAAACUCAAAGGAAUUGACGGGGGCCCGCACAAGCGGUGGAGCAUGUGGUUUAAUUCGAAGCAACGCGAAGAACCUUACCAGGGCUUGACAUCC
RNAcentral lists this ribosomal RNA (879 nucleotides) under uncultured Thermicanus sp. RNAcentral's name for it is "bacterial SSU rRNA". It matches the Rfam family "Bacterial small subunit ribosomal RNA", at positions 115 to 989 of the family's 1533-position model. The record is from RNAcentral. Lineage: Bacteria; Bacillati; Bacillota; Bacilli; Thermicanales; Thermicanaceae.